This is a non-coding RNA of Salvelinus sp. IW2-2015, 236 nucleotides long. The record is from RefSeq and is a predicted model, not a curated record. NCBI's taxonomy places the organism in Eukaryota, Metazoa, Chordata, Actinopteri, Salmoniformes, Salmonidae.
GGGCACACAGCAUGGCAUCACCCUGCAGUUCAACAGCAGCCUCGUCAGCCUGGAACUCUGCAAGGUUCAUUUCCACUUCUGGGAGCAUGGUAACUACUCUCUGUGGGUCAAGAACCUGAAUGACUCAUCAGUGGUCAACUGUUCCAUGAUCACUGACACAGAACCGGUCAACAGCUACCUGCCCAUCAUGGUGGCCUUUCUGUUGUUCAGGGACUGGCUCUACUGUCUGCUGUUGG